UUUAUAUCAUCUACUAUGAAGAAACCUUUUCAAACCUCGUUUAUUGGUCUAACAAUCUUCGCCAUUCUUCUGUUAGGUUUGUAUUUAUAUUUUGAAUUGUCUUAAUAUAUUACAUUUAAUCAUUCUAAUAUAAAGUGAUUUUGAAUACCAUAUUAUUUUACUACUGAUAAAAUCAUGGCCAAGAUGGGAGUUAAGUACGAGGAACAAAUAGAGGUUCAGCUCGGAACACAAGAUCAAAUAGCUGAGGUGACCGAGCUGAGCGAAGUCGAGGUUCAGGGAAGGGUACAAGACCAAGAUACCGACCAGCCCGAUGUCCUGGCCAUACCAGUUGGACCCAUGACCAGGUCGCGUACAAAGAAGCUUAUGGGGGCCAUCCAACAAGUCCUUACCGAGCUACGGAACCAAGGCCGAGCUGACGACCCAACACCCGUGAACAAAGUCAUGACCGUUCUCAGGUACUCUGGUCCGAACUGACCUGGUUGGGGUGUUGUGUUAAUAUUCUUUUUCCUUACAUUCGGUUUUGUCCCACUAGGUUUUCCGAAUGGGGUUUUAACGAGGUUAAUACACGCC
This 570-nucleotide long non-coding RNA is filed under the name Eutrema salsugineum. RNAcentral's name for it is "long non-coding RNA (ESAL_LNC001050)". Lineage: Eukaryota; Viridiplantae; Streptophyta; Magnoliopsida; Brassicales; Brassicaceae. The record is from RNAcentral.